UACGUAGGAGGCAAGCGUUGUCCGGAGUUACUGGGCGUAAAGGGCGCGUAGGCGGCCUGGCAAGUGGAAGGUGAAAUCCCUCGGCUUAACCGAGGAACUGCCCUCCAAACUGCUUGGCUUGAGUCCGGGAGAGGUGAGUGGAAUUCCCAGUGUAGCGGUGAAAUGCGUAGAUAUUGGGAGGAACACCUAUGGCGAAGGCAGCUCGCUGGGACGUUACUGACGCUGAGACGCGAAAGCGUGGGGAGCAAACAGG
RNAcentral lists this ribosomal RNA (253 nucleotides) under uncultured bacterium. RNAcentral describes it as "partial 16S ribosomal RNA". It matches the Rfam family "Bacterial small subunit ribosomal RNA", at positions 524 to 776 of the family's 1533-position model. The record is from RNAcentral.